This 234-nucleotide ribosomal RNA is filed under the name uncultured bacterium. Its description in RNAcentral is "partial 16S ribosomal RNA". It matches the Rfam family "Bacterial small subunit ribosomal RNA", at positions 118 to 347 of the family's 1533-position model. The record is from RNAcentral.
UGAGUAACCUGCCCUUAACUCUGGGAUAAGCCUGGGAAACUGGGUCUAAUACCGGAUAUGACUCCUCAUCGCAUGGGUGGGGGGUGGAAAGCUUUAUUGUGGUUUUGGAUGGACUCGCGGCCUAUCAGCUUGUUGGUGAGGUAAUGGCUCACCAAGGCGACGACGGGUAGCCGGCCUGAGAGGGCGACCGGCCACACUGGGACUGAGACACGGCCCAGACUCCUACGGGAGCAG